Molecule: long non-coding RNA, 752 nt
Filed under: Triticum aestivum (bread wheat)
Lineage: Eukaryota; Viridiplantae; Streptophyta; Magnoliopsida; Poales; Poaceae
Description: long non-coding RNA (TAES_LNC009263)
Source: RNAcentral
UAUGAUUAGUAUUUAAGCAUGAAUCCCCAUCUUACAAAGGAAAAAAUCAUAGUACAUUCACAUACCUUAUCAAGAACACAAGGAUGCCUACGAUCCACUCCCAUGGCUAAAUGUAAUAUGGGUUAAUGAAAACUCAGGAAAUGACUACAAAAAAAAGUUAUAUGCUCCUCCACUGAGAACGGUAGAGUGCAUGGAGGAUAAAUUUGCAAAGACAUGAUAAUAUUAUUCACUGUCACAAAAACACAUAAAAUGAAGCAACAACAAAAAGGAUAAUUUAUGAGUUUCACCCCGGCAUAGAUUCUUCAUUAAUACUUGCAGCACCUCAAUAAUAAAAAUUUAGGAGGUAAAAUAGAAGCUGAAGGCAUGAUCACAACCUGAAAUAGAUGACACAAUAAUCAAUAAAAAUAUUUAGUUUGAGGUUCAACACUUCAAUGAUGCAUUAACUGAAUAAAUGUUUCUGGAAGCAGACCAUACCUCAAGGUAAAGAUGAAUGUUCUGGUACUUGGAUUCAAGAAGCUGCAUACUUAAACUGGAAGCACUUCCAAAACUUCCUUCGGUGUCUUCUUUGUAUCAUUAUGUAGCAUGACUGUCUACUUUAUUAGCCUAACAGAACUGCUUAAGUUGGCUGAGUAACAUGCACAUAAAUAAAUCAGAAAAAGAAUAAGUAUUAUUAGGAGAUGAGCAAUAUGUCGUAAAAAGAAAAGAUAUAUAGCUCCUGAGAAGACGUCUCUUUUUUACUUCACUCCAAAUAG